CCUACGGGGGGCAGCAGUGAGGAAUAUUGGUCAAUGGACGAGAGUCUGAACCAGCCAAGUAGCGUGAAGGAUGACUGCCCUAUGGGUUGUAAACUUCUUUUAUAAAGGAAUAAAACGAGGCACGUGUGCCUCUUUGCAUGUACUUUAUGAAUAAGGAUAGGCUAACCCCGUGCCAGCAGCCGCGGUAAUACGGAGGAUCCGAGCGUUAUCCGGAUUUAUUGGGUUUAAAGGGAGCGUAGAUGGGUUGUUAAGUCAGUUGUGAAAGUUUGCGGCUCAACCGUAAAAUUGCAAUUGAUACUGGCAGUCUUGAGUACAGUUGAGGUAGGCGGAAUUCGUGGUGUAGCGGUGAAAUGCUUAGAUAUCACGAAGAACCCCGAUUGCGAAGGCAGCUUACUAAACUGUGACUGACACUGAGGCUCGAAAGUGUGGGUAUCAAACAGGAUUAGAUACCCCUGUAGUC
Molecule: ribosomal RNA, 460 nt
Filed under: uncultured bacterium
Lineage: Bacteria
Description: partial 16S ribosomal RNA
Rfam family: Bacterial small subunit ribosomal RNA
Source: RNAcentral